RNAcentral lists this transfer RNA (66 nucleotides) under Dercas lycorias (plain sulphur). Its description in RNAcentral is "tRNA-Ser". Lineage: Eukaryota; Metazoa; Arthropoda; Insecta; Lepidoptera; Pieridae. The record is from RNAcentral.
AAUUAAUGAGCUUGUAUUAAGCAUUUGUUUUGAAAACUUAUAAAAGAAUAAUUAUUCUAUUAAUUU